Molecule: ribosomal RNA, 507 nt
Filed under: Triticum aestivum (bread wheat)
Lineage: Eukaryota; Viridiplantae; Streptophyta; Magnoliopsida; Poales; Poaceae
Description: partial small subunit ribosomal RNA
Source: RNAcentral
AUGUCGCAUGAGAGACAAUUUAACUCAACGACGUCGCAUGGGAGCUAUUUGCCCGCUCCAACCAAGGUUUUGGUUACUGGUCAAAAUUCCAAGAUUUCCGAUGAUUACCGCAUAUUUCCGUGCCCCUCGGCGACCGCUGGCAAGCACGCCGUGGUCGCCGCGGUGGCCGUGCCUAACCUCCGUUUCGGCUGUGGCAUGCUGAACACCGGCAUCUUCAAGUCAAACGAGUCCGGCAUCACCUGCUUUAGCCGCGGCCCAUUGUCGCUGCCGUCGCAGCUCAAGAUCCGCAGCUUCUCCUACUGCUUCAUGGCCAUCGUAGAGUCAAGGGCCAGCCCGGUGUUCCUUGGCGGCGAGCCGGAAAAACUUGAAGCCCAUGCCACGGGGCCCAUUCAGUCCACCCGUUCGCCCAGGCCCUGCGCGAGCACCUGUGGGCAGCUCGCUGUUCUACUACCUUUCGCUGAGAGGUGUAACCGUCGGCGACACGCAGCUGCCGUUCAGCGCGUCUGA